RNAcentral lists this ribosomal RNA (253 nucleotides) under uncultured bacterium. RNAcentral describes it as "partial 16S ribosomal RNA". It matches the Rfam family "Bacterial small subunit ribosomal RNA", at positions 524 to 776 of the family's 1533-position model. The record is from RNAcentral.
UACAGAGGGUGCGAGCGAUCAUCGGCCUUACUGGGCGUAAAGCGCACGUAGGCGGCUUGGUAUGUCGGGUGUGAAAUACCCGGGCUCAACCUGGGAACUGCAUCCGAAACUGCCUUGCUCGAGUAUGGGAGAGGGAAGCGGAAUUUCCGGUGUAGCGGUGAAAUGCGUAGAUAUCGGAAGGAACAUCAGUGGCGAAGGCGACUUCCUGGACCAAUACUGUCGCUCAGGUGCGAAAGCGUGGGGAGCAAACAGG